GCCAUUGUGGAGAAAGAGGUAUGCUGUUAUCUGAAGUAACUUGAUCUUUUGACUCACAAAGCGAACUCAUCUGCAUCUUGUCCUCAGCAGUUCCACCACACCAGGCUUCAUCUUUGACGUUGGACGUGUGUUCAUCAGGAAACUUGGAUGAGAAAAGAUCGUCAGGCAGGGUAAGCUUCCCGUCAGCCAUUGGAGAAACAGGUCAACAACAGAAUUGGCGGUGGAGAGAGAGAUUGGAUUGGGGAAGAGGUUGCAGAGAAAGAAGCUGCUGUAUAGAAGAUUGCUAGGGUUUGGGAAUUGCAGGAAGGGAAAGAAAGAGAAGACGCCGAUAGAUUAAAAUUUGAGAAUUACAGAAACUCAGAGAGAGAAGUGGCGAGAGAGGGAGAACAGAGGAGAGAGGGCUGAUGGUAAUGGUUGUAUUGAUC
RNAcentral lists this unclassified non-coding RNA (425 nucleotides) under Hevea brasiliensis (rubber tree). The record is from RNAcentral. Lineage: Eukaryota; Viridiplantae; Streptophyta; Magnoliopsida; Malpighiales; Euphorbiaceae.